GGAGAAGCAGGCUCCAUGCACCGGGAGCCCGACGUGGGACUCGAUCCCGGGUCUCCAGGAUCACGCCCUGGGCCAAAGGCAGGCGCCAAACCGCUGCGCCACCCAGGGAUCCCUGAUUGAUUCUUUUUUAAAAUUUUCUAUCUCUUUGUUGAAGUUCACAUUGAGUUAUUUCACUCCUUUCCAGUCUGUGGCUGUCUCAUGCAGGCGCACAAACAAGUCUGUCACCUCCAUACUUGUCCAACCUGGGCAACCAGACUAUGGAGCCAAACUAGGGAUAUAAUAUAUGAAAAAGCACAAACAGGGGGAAGAGAAAGAGGAAGAAGCAGGCUCCCCACUGAACAGAGAGUCGGACCCAGGCUCAAUCCCAGGAUCCUGGGACCACAACCUGGACUGAAGGCAGACACUUCACUGACUGAGCCACCCAGGGACACUGCCAGCAAUUCAGAAACGAGGAGCCGCUAAGAUGUCACGGACGUGAGGACGAUAGCUAAUACUGCCAUGUGACAUAGAAGUUGGUAAGUGGAUCUUAGGAGUUCUCAUCACAAGGAGAAACUUUCUUUUUAUUCUAUGUAAGAAAAUCUUAACUGAGCCUACAGUGGUAAUCAUUUCACAAUAUAUAAAAAUCAAACCAUGAUGCUGUAAGGCCUUACACUUAUACUGUGAUGCAUGUCAAUUAUCCAUCAACAAAACUGGAAAGAAAUCCAAAAACAGGAGCUGGCAGGUAUACUGGAGCAUGUGUCCUCCCAUUUGACCAAAAAGCUGCAGACCUAGGGCUAACACAUGGUUCUGGAAACUUCAGACUCUAUAGUUCCUAACAGUAUCUGAUAGGGCUAGCUCUCCAUUUCUCUUUAGAAUAUCCAUGAUAUCCAUGUUAUUUUCAUUUGGUCAUUCUUCCAGGUGAAUGUUAAAAUAACUUCCAAAGUAAAAAUAAAUAAUAAAAAAUUAAAAAAAUAAAAGACCCCGUUUAGCUAUUCAUUAGAACUACAUAAAAUUUAAGAGAGAAAACUUCUGGAUAAUAUCCAUGCUAAGAUGUUUCCUCUAAUCAAGUAGAUCAGGGUUCUGAUAGGUUGUUCUCCUCUGUCCAGUUUGCUCUUUUUUUGGGCAGCAGGGAGAGCAAAAUUCAUUUCUUCAUUUGCAUGAGGAAGAAAUUUCCGAUUUUUGUGGGGUUUUUUUUUGUUUGUUUUAAGAUUUUAUUUACCAAAGAGGUGGUGAAAAUAAGCACAGGUAGAAUGAAUGAAUGGAGAGACUGGCAGACAUGCCCUUUGCGGGGUAGAGCCACCAUGACUCCAGAAAGUUUAUGGAAGCCUCAAGGGAAACAUAGAGGACAUUAAUGUUAUGCUGACAGCUCCCUUGUCCCAGGCCCUUGUUAGGCAUGAUCAACAUGAUCUCAAAGUGGACAAAAAAGAUGGGGGUUCUGGGGUGCUCACUGUAUGGAAGCAGGCUGAAGAACCAGAUGUCCUAGCUCUCACUCCUGUAACCUAGACUUACUUAGCCCUAAAGAGGGAGCCCAUGAUGAUGUAUAACAAAUAGCUGCCCAUAAAGGACUAGUAGGCAAUUGCAUACUCUAGUCAUUGUCUAAGAUGCAGCACUGCCUUAUGAACCAAUAAGAGAAAAAACAGUCAUCGAUUAUGAGGUGUAACCCAUUGCAGAGACGUCAAAUGUGAAAGAAUGCACAGAUAAAAUAAUGUAGUCUUUUCAAGUAUACCAUAAGAAACUGAAUAUUUUAAGAUUGUGAGGUUCUACCCACAUCAAAAUUUAAAAGCAAAGUAAAGCAAAA
Nyctereutes procyonoides (raccoon dog) is the source of this 1777-nucleotide long non-coding RNA. RefSeq lists it as uncharacterized. The transcript is spliced from 4 exons. The record is from RefSeq and is a predicted model, not a curated record. NCBI's taxonomy places the organism in Eukaryota, Metazoa, Chordata, Mammalia, Carnivora, Canidae.